GAUGAAGAACGUAGCGAAAUGCGAUAAGUAAUGUGAAUUGCAGAAUUCAGUGAAUCAUCGAAUCUUUGAACGCACAUUGCGCCCUCUGGUAUUCCGGGGGGCAUGCCUGUUCGAGCGUCAUUAUAACCACUCAAGCUCUCGCUUGGUAUUGGGGUUCGCGGUUUCGCGGCCCCUAAAAUCACUGGCGGUGCCUGUCGGCUCUACGCGUAGUAAUACUUCUCGCGAUUGAGUUCGAUAGGUCUACUUGCCAGUAACCCCCAAUUUUUACAGGUUGACCUCGGAUCAGGUAGGGAUACCCGCUGAACUUAAGCAUAUCAAUAAGCGGAGGA
This 329-nucleotide unclassified non-coding RNA is filed under the name soil metagenome. RNAcentral describes it as "partial contains 5.8S ribosomal RNA, internal transcribed spacer 2, and large subunit ribosomal RNA". The stretch from base 1 to 120 matches the Rfam family "5.8S ribosomal RNA", at positions 35 to 154 of the family's 154-position model. The record is from RNAcentral.